GCGGAGAUUGCCAAGCCUGGUCAACGGCGCUGGACUUAGAAUCCAGUUCUUAGUGAUUCGAGGGUUCAAAUCCCCCUCUCCGCA
RNAcentral lists this transfer RNA (84 nucleotides) under Promethearchaeota archaeon. Its description in RNAcentral is "Candidatus Lokiarchaeota archaeon (microbial mat metagenome) tRNA-Leu". It matches the Rfam family "tRNA". From Rfam's summary of the family: Transfer RNA (tRNA) molecules are approximately 80 nucleotides in length. Their secondary structure includes four short double-helical elements and three loops (D, anti-codon, and T loops). Further hydrogen bonds mediate the characteristic L-shaped molecular structure. tRNAs have two regions of fundamental functional importance: the anti-codon, which is responsible for specific mRNA codon recognition, and the 3' end, to which the tRNAs corresponding amino acid is attached (by aminoacyl-tRNA synthetases). tRNAs cope with the degeneracy of the genetic code in two manners: having more than one tRNA (with a specific anti-codon) for a particular amino acid; and 'wobble' base-pairing, i.e. permitting non-standard base-pairing at the 3rd anti-codon position. Lineage: Archaea; Promethearchaeati; Promethearchaeota. The record is from RNAcentral.